AUUGAACGCUGGCGGCAUGCCUUACACAUGCAAGUCGAACGGUAACAGGUCUUCGGAUGCUGACGAGCUGGCGAACGGGUGAGUAAUACAUCGGAACGUGCCCGAUCGUGGGGGAUAACGGAGCGAAAGCUUUGCUAAUACCGCAUACGAUCUACGGAUGAAGGCAGGGGACCGCAAGGCCUUGCGCGAACGGAGCGGCCGAUGGCAGAUUAGGUAGUUGGUGGGAUAAAAGCUUACCAAGCCGACGAUCUGUAGCUGGUCUGAGAGGACGACCAGCCACACUGGACUGAGACACGGCCCAGACUCCUACGGGAGGCAGCAGUGGGGAAUUUUGGACAAUGGGCGAAAGCCUGAUCCAGCCAUGCCGCGUGCAGGAUGAAGGCCUUCGGGUUGUAAACUGCUUUUGUAC
This 409-nucleotide ribosomal RNA is filed under the name uncultured bacterium. RNAcentral's name for it is "bacterial SSU rRNA". It matches the Rfam family "Bacterial small subunit ribosomal RNA", at positions 30 to 441 of the family's 1533-position model. The record is from RNAcentral.